GUGGGGAAUUUUGGACAAUGGGCGCAAGCCUGAUCCAGCCAUUCCGCGUGCAGGAUGAAGGCCUUCGGGUUGUAAACUGCUUUUGUACGGAACGAAAAGCCUCUGGUUAAUACCCGGGGGUCAUGACGGUACCGUAAGAAUAAGCACCGGCUAACUACGUGCCAGCAGCCGCGGUAAUACGUAGGGUGCGAGCGUUAAUCGGAAUUACUGGGCGUAAAGCGUGCGCAGGCGGUGAUGUAAGACAGUUGUGAAAUCCCCGGGCUCAACCUGGGAACUGCAUCUAGGACUGCAUUGCUGGAGUGCGGCAGAGGGGGAUGGAAUUCCGCGUGUAGCAGUGAAAUGCGUAGAUAUGCGGAGGAACACCGAUGGCGAAGGCAAUCCCCUGGGCCUGCACUGACGCUCAUGCACGAAAGCGUGGGGAGCAAACAGGAUUAGAAACCCCAGUAGUCC
Molecule: ribosomal RNA, 450 nt
Filed under: uncultured bacterium
Lineage: Bacteria
Description: partial 16S ribosomal RNA
Rfam family: Bacterial small subunit ribosomal RNA
Source: RNAcentral